CCUACGGGGGGCAGCAGUGAGGAAUAUUGGUCAAUGGGCGCGAGCCUGAACCAGCCAAGUAGCGUGAAGGAUGACUGCCCUACGGGUUGUAAACUUCUUUUAUACAGGAGUAAAGUGAGGCACGUGUGCCUUUUUGUAUGUACUUUAUGAAUAAGGAUCGGCUAACUCCGUGCCAGCAGCCGCGGUAAUACGGAGGGUCCGGGCGUUAUCCGGAUUUAUUGGGUUUAAAGGGAGCGUAGAGGGGUUGUUAAGUCAGUUGUGAAAGGUUGCGGCUCAACCGUAAAAUUGCAAUGGAUACUGGCAGCCGUGAGUACAGGUGAGGUAGGCGGAAUUCGUGGUGUAGCGGUGAAAUGCUUAGAUAUCACGAAGAACUCCGAUUGCGAAGGCAGCUUACGAAACUGCCACUGACAUUGAGGCUCGAAAGUGUGGGUAUCAAACAGGAUUAGAUACCCUGGUAGUC
RNAcentral lists this ribosomal RNA (460 nucleotides) under uncultured bacterium. RNAcentral's name for it is "partial 16S ribosomal RNA". It matches the Rfam family "Bacterial small subunit ribosomal RNA", at positions 338 to 795 of the family's 1533-position model. The record is from RNAcentral.